AGCGAACGCUGGCGGCAGGCCUAACACAUGCAAGUCGAACGGAUCCUUCGGGAUUAGUGGCGGACGGGUGAGUAACACGUGGGAACGUGCCCUUUGGUUCGGAACAACUCAGGGAAACUUGAGCUAAUACCGGAUGUGCCCCUCGGGGGAAAGAUUAUCGCCAUUGGAGCGGCCCGCGUCUGAUUAGCUCGUUGGUGAGGUAACGGCCCACCAAGGCGACGAUCAGUAGCUGGUCUGUGAGGAAGAGCAGCCACACUGGGACUGAGACACGGCCCAGACUCCUGCGGGAGGCAGCAGUGGGGAAUCUUGCGCAGUGGGCGAAAGCCUGACGCAGCCAUGCCGCGUGAAUGAUGAAGGUCUUAGGAUUGUAAAUUUCUUUCAGCGGGGACGAUAAUGACGGUACCCGCAGAAGAAGCUCCGGCUAACUUCGUG
RNAcentral lists this ribosomal RNA (432 nucleotides) under uncultured bacterium. Its description in RNAcentral is "partial 16S ribosomal RNA". It matches the Rfam family "Bacterial small subunit ribosomal RNA", at positions 29 to 507 of the family's 1533-position model. The record is from RNAcentral.